This 1288-nucleotide ribosomal RNA is filed under the name uncultured bacterium. RNAcentral describes it as "bacterial SSU rRNA". It matches the Rfam family "Bacterial small subunit ribosomal RNA", at positions 88 to 1399 of the family's 1533-position model. The record is from RNAcentral.
UAACUUAGUGGCGAACGGGUGAGUAACGCGUGAGUAACCUGCCCUGGAGUGGGGGACAACAGUUGGAAACGACUGCUAAUACCGCAUAAGCCCACGAUCCGGCAUCGGAUUGAGGGAAAAGGAUUUAUUCGCUUCAGGAUGGACUCGCGUCCAAUUAGCUAGUUGGUGAGGUAACGGCCCACCAAGGCGACGAUUGGUAGCCGGACUGAGAGGUUGAACGGCCACAUUGGGACUGAGACACGGCCCAGACUCCUACGGGAGGCAGCAGUGGGGGAUAUUGCACAAUGGGGGAAACCCUGAUGCAGCGACGCCGCGUGGAGGAAGAAGGUUUUCGGAUUGUAAACUCCUGUCGUUAGGGACGAUAAUGACGGUACCUAACAAGAAAGCACCGGCUAACUACGUGCCUGCAGCCGCGGUAAAACGUAGGGUGCAAGCGUUGUCCGGAAUUACUGGGUGUAAAGGGAGCGCAGGCGGACCGGCAAGUUGGAAGUGAAAUCCAUGGGCUCAACCCGUGAAUUGCUUUCAAAACUGCUGGCCUUGAGUAGUGCAGAGGUAGGUGGAAUUCCCGGUGUAGCGGUGGAAUGCGUAGAUAUCGGGAGGAACACCAGUGGCGAAGGCGACCUACUGGGCACCAACUGACGCUGAGGCUCGAAAGCAUGGGUAGCAAACAGGAUUAGAUACCCUGGUAGUCCAUGCCGUAAACGAUGAUUACUAGGUGUUGGAGGAUUGACCCCUUCAGUGCCGUAGUUAACACAAUAAGUAAUCCACCUGGGGAGUACGACCGCAAGGUUGAAACUCAAAGGAAUUGACGGGGGCCCGCACAAGCAGUGGAGUAUGUGGUUUAAUUCGAAGCAACGCGAAGAACCUUUCCAGGUCUUGACAUCCGAUGCAUAGUGCAGAGAUGCACGAAGUCCUUCGGGACAUCGAGACAGGUGGUGCAUGGUUGUCGUCAGCUCGUGUCGUGAGAUGUUGGGUUAAGUCCCGCAACGAGCGCAACCCUUAUUGCCAGUUACUACGCAAGAGGACUCUGGCGAGACUGCCGUUGACAAAACGGAGGAAGGUGGGGAUGACGUCAAAUCAUCAUGCCCCUUAUGACCUGGGCUACACACGUACUACAAUGGCGUUUAACAAAGAGAAGCAAGACCGCGAGGUGGAGCAAAACUCAAAAACAACGUCUCAGUUCAGAUUGCAGGCUGCAACUCGCCUGCAUGAAGUCGGAAUUGCUAGUAAUCGCGGAUCAGCAUGCCGCGGUGAAUACGUUCCCGGGCCUUGCACUCACCGCCCGUCA